RNAcentral lists this ribosomal RNA (1343 nucleotides) under uncultured bacterium. Its description in RNAcentral is "bacterial SSU rRNA". It matches the Rfam family "Bacterial small subunit ribosomal RNA", at positions 28 to 1381 of the family's 1533-position model. The record is from RNAcentral.
GACGAACGCUGGCGGCGUGCUUAACACAUGCAAGUCGAACGGAAAGGCCCCUGCUUGCAGGGGUGCUCGAGUGGCGAACGGGUGAGUAACACGUGGGUGAUCUGCCUUGUACUCUGGGAUAAGCUUGGGAAACUGGGUCUAAUACCGGAUAGGAACUGCCUUUAGUGUGGUGGUUGGAAAGUUUUUUCGGUGCAAGAUGAGCUCGCGGCCUAUCAGCUUGUUGGUGGGGUAAUGGCCUACCAAGGCGUCGACGGGUAGCCGGCCUGAGAGGGUGUACGGCCACAUUGGGACUGAGAUACGGCCCAGACUCCUACGGGAGGCAGCAGUGGGGAAUAUUGCACAAUGGGCGGAAGCCUGAUGCAGCGACGCCGCGUGGGGGAUGACGGCCUUCGGGUUGUAAACUCCUUUCGACAGGGACGAAGCUUUUUGUGACGGUACCUGUAUAAGAAGCACCGGCUAACUACGUGCCAGCAGCCGCGGUAAUACGUAGGGUGCGAGCGUUGUCCGGAAUUACUGGGCGUAAAGAGCUCGUAGGUGGUUUGUCGCGUCGUCUGUGAAAUUCCGGGGCUUAACUCCGGGCGUGCAGGCGAUACGGGCAUAACUUGAGUGCUGUAGGGGAGACUGGAAUUCCUGAUGUAGCGGUGAAAUGCGCAGAUAUCAGGAGGAACACCGAUGGCGAACGCAGGUCUCUGGGCAAUUAACUGACGCUGAAGAACGAAAGCAUGGGGUACCAAACAGGAUUAGAUACCCUGGUCCUCCAUGCCAUAAACGGUGGGCGCUAGGUGUAGGGGGCUUCCACGUCUUCUGUGCCGUAGCUAACGCAUUAACCGCCCCGCCUGGGGAGUACGGCCACAAUGCUAAAACUCAAAGGAAUUGACGGGCGCCCGCACAAGCGGCGGAGCAUGUGGAUUAAUUCGAUGCAACGCGAAGAACCUUGCCUUGGCUUGACAUACACCAGAUCUCUGCAGAGACGUAGUUUCCCUUGUGGUUGGUGUACAGGUGGUGCAUGGUUGUCGUCAGCUCUUGUCGUGAGAUGUUGGGUUAAGUCGCGCAACGAGCGCAACCCUUGUCUCAUGUUGCCAGCAUUUUAGUAGGGGACUCAUGAGAGACUGCCGGGGUUAACUCGGAGGAAGGUGGGGAUGACGUCAAAUCAUCAUGCCCCUUAUGUCCAGGGCUUCACACAUGCUACAAUGGUAGGUACAACGAGCAGCGACACUGUGAGGUGGAGCGAAUCGCUGAAAGCCGGUCUUACUUCGGAUUGGGGUGUGCAACUCGACCCCAUGAAGUCGGAGUCGCUAGUAAUCGUAGAUCAGCAAUGAUGCGGUGAAUACGUUCCCGGGCCU